GACGAACGCUGGCGGCGUGCUUAACACAUGCAAGUCGAACGCUGAAGCUCAGCUUUUGUUGGGUGGAUGAGUGGCGAACGGGUGAGUAACACGUGAGUAACCUGCCCCCUUCUUUGGGAUAACGCCCGGAAACGGGUGCUAAUACUGGAUAUUCACUUGCCUUCGCAUGGGGGUUGGUGGAAAGGGUUUUUUCUGGUGGGGGAUGGGCUCGCGGCCUAUCAGCUUGUUGGUGGGGUGAUGGCCUACCAAGGCUUUGACGGGUAGCCGGCCUGAGAGGGUGACCGGUCACAUUGGGACUGAGAUACGGCCCAGACUCCUACGGGAGGCAGCAGUGGGGAAUAUUGCACAAUGGGCGAAAGCCUGAUGCAGCGACGCCGCGUGAGGGAUGGAGGCCUUCGGGUUGUAAACCUCUUUCGCUCAUGGUCAAGCCGCAGCUUUGGGUUGUGGUGAGGGUAGUGGGUAAAGAAGCGCCGGCUAACUACGUGCCAGCAGCCGCGGUAAUACGUAGGGCGCGAGCGUUGUCCGGAAUUAUUGGGCGUAAAGGGCUUGUAGGCGGUUGGUCGCGUCUGCCUUGAAAUCCUCUGGCUUAACUGGGGUCGUGCGGUGUGUACGGGCUGACUUGAGUGCGUGUAGGGGAGACUGGAACUCCUGUGUGUACGGUGGAAUGCGCAUAUAUCAGUAAGAACACCCGUUUGCGAAGGCGUGUCUCCUGGGCUGUACUGACGCUUAGUGACGAAUGCGUGGGUAGCGUAAUAUG
Molecule: ribosomal RNA, 757 nt
Filed under: uncultured Actinomyces sp.
Lineage: Bacteria; Bacillati; Actinomycetota; Actinomycetes; Actinomycetales; Actinomycetaceae
Description: bacterial SSU rRNA
Rfam family: Bacterial small subunit ribosomal RNA
Source: RNAcentral